AUCUAAUCAAGAUUUAGAUGACUUUCAAGUUUCAACAGCAUACAUAAAGAUAACGUAACGAAAGAGAUACCUCGAACAGACUCCACCGCAGCAUCUAGAACAAGGUUCAGCAACUGAUCGUAGCCUUUAAGAGUUCCAGUGACUGCCAAACACAAGCAUCAAAACUCAAAAGCAAGAAUCAUAUAAAAAAAGCUCUGUUCUUUACCUUGUCUACCACCAGUCAGCUUAACUUGCACGCCCUUAUCCACAAACUUAGCCAAAUCCAACACCGUUUCCUUUCUUCCUGACUGUAAUAAGAAAAACAGAGCAAAUCAAACACUGAACUGAAUGAAUUGACUCGAAUCAUAAAUAAAAAUGAAAACUUUAACUCAUAACUUACCAUGUUAGAGCAAAGCCCUCGAAAUAGAAUCCCCAAAAAAAAAAAACCUAAAAAAAUCAUUUUGAUUCAGAACAGAGUCAUCGUAUGCUUAUACUUCAUGUUAGACAAACCCCAUGAGAUUGAUGAAGUAAACUCACCGGGGAGACAAAGAUCUCUCAAGAUCGAAGCGAAACAGUGAAGACCCCAGAAAACUUUGGCGAAGAGAUGAUUUUGUUUUGUCAGAGAAGAUCGGGAGAAUCUAUAGCGAGUUGAGAACUCCGGUUUAAAUCUCUAACCAUGGUUUGAUUAUUGGUUUCUCAAUUUCAGUUUUAAUUUCGGUUCGGUUUGAAAUGUAUGACGUUAGCUUAACCGGGUUGGGUAUCUCUAUUAUUAAUUAUCAGAAGAAAAAAAAAAUGAUUUCACCAUCAAGUUUUAAAAAUAGAUUCGGUUUCUUAGCAAAAUAAAGGAUUUUUCAAAUAUAUAUGUUUGACAAAAUAUUUUUUCAUCAGUUUAUAUCAUUUUACUUUGGUUCGGUUUGGUUUGGUUUAGUUAUACCAUUCUGAAUAUGAAAACUAAAAGAGUCGAUUGACUUCACAUGCAGCAUAUCGGUAAAGAAUCGAGACUGUACAAGAAAAAUAAAACAAGAGAAAGAUAUAUUUAUACAUAUGUUAGAAUUAAAGUCUAGCUAGUUCUCAGUUUCUCGAAGGAUCCUUAACCAAGCAAACCAACCAACAACGCCAAUGGAAAGACUAAAUACGAUAUGAAGGAUAUUAAAUGUUAAGGAAAAUGAAGUAUUAUGUAAAUCUGCAAUAGUCACGGCUUUACAUGAAUCGCAAUCGAAGCAUAAUGUGUUUGCCGUAUUGUUCCAUGUCUUGCAAUCAUCUUCAACGUUGUUAUGAUAUCUUGACAUUGUCCAAAUGUUUGGUUUCACGUAAGUUAAUCCACAUGAAAGCGGUGGUUUGCAGCAACCCGACUGUUAAAAUAAAAUAAAGUAUAUUAGAAUGAAAUAAAAAAAAAACUAUAAUAUAAACAGUAUAUAUGUAGAUCAUAUGUGCGUACGUAUUUAGUUACCUGUAUAGGAGUUAGAUUCAUCUGACGAAACUCAGAAGCCGACAUGUUUUGGUUAGAGAAUAGUUUGUUACAAACAUUGCCCUUAACAAGACAUCUCCUAGUACGAUACCAUUCAUCGUCUUUGAUGACCAAUCUACGUACCCAUCCCGAGUAAUCCUCCAACCUAAACUCAUGUAUCUUCGUCCCAGGGUACAGCCUAGGAUCGGUCUCGUUAUUGAGACGGUAAACGAAAACGGCUUUAGCCACGACCACGAACAUCCACAAGAAGAAGAUGAAGAAGUGGAUUCGGAAGAGACAAUCGGAUUUGUAGUAAGCGGCAUAGAAGCCUGCGAGAGUCAUGAAUAGCAAUGAGAAGCUCACGAAGAUUCCGGGAGUUGUCACGAACCGGUUACAUUCAUCCGUCUUGUAAUGUAACAUUGAGACGGUCACAAACCAGAAAGCUGAUGUGGCUAGGAAAAUCGAGUUUGCGAUCAAGAAAAUUGUGUUGAAUGGAAAUGAGAUGUUCUUGAAACAUGAUAAAGGUGAAGGGUUUUCUUCGUUUUGUUCUUCUUUAUCUUUCGCCAUUAUGUGGUGUUAUUGUUGAAAAUAAGUCAAUGGAUCAUCAUGAUCUGGUCAAACAUUAGACAAAUGUUAUAAUACUACCAUAUAAAUCACAGAAACCAAGAAGACAACACACAACUCUAGUUUCAACAUGGAUGUGAUGUAUACUAUCCCUUUUUAUAUCACCUAGGCAAAUAGAAACCCCUCUCUUCCCAGCAUAUCUAAUCAAGAUUUAGAUGACUUUCAAGUUUCAACAGCAUACAUAAAGAUAACGUAACGAAAGAGAUACCUCGAACAGACUCCACCGCAGCAUCUAGAACAAGGUUCAGCAACUGAUCGUAGCCUUUAAGAGUUCCAGUGACUGCCAAACACAAGCAUCAAAACUCAAAAGCAAGAAUCAUAUAAAAAAAGCUCUGUUCUUUACCUU
RNAcentral lists this long non-coding RNA (2396 nucleotides) under Brassica napus (rape). Its description in RNAcentral is "long non-coding RNA (BNAP_LNC001676)". Lineage: Eukaryota; Viridiplantae; Streptophyta; Magnoliopsida; Brassicales; Brassicaceae. The record is from RNAcentral.